CAUGGAAAUAUACAAAAGCAUGUGGGUGGAUAAGCAUCUUCAAUAUGAUCUAACAUCUUCAACUAUCAAAUCAUCCUUUCUAGUCCCUCUCAGUGGUACCUGCCAUAUUUAUAAAUGGAAUUCAGCAUAAUGAGAAGGCAUACCAAUGCGAGGCAGAUCUUCUCUGUACUUUUUCAUAAGAACUCAAUGAGCUUCUGUAGGAACUUUAGUCUAUUGAUGGGGUAGAGUAACCCAGUUGUAGAUCCAACAAUAAAUCAAAAGUGACUCCAGGAAUGAGUCCAAAAACAUGCGUGUUAUUUGAGGAUUCUUCAAGAAUAGGAUUGGUAGUUUGUGGUUAAUCACAACAAAAGUGUUGUACAAUUGAACCACACAGUCCUGGAUUACCCAAGAAAGUGGAGACAGGAAAAAUGUCGAACUGGCCUUUAUAGGCCCU
Molecule: unclassified non-coding RNA, 433 nt
Filed under: Hevea brasiliensis (rubber tree)
Lineage: Eukaryota; Viridiplantae; Streptophyta; Magnoliopsida; Malpighiales; Euphorbiaceae
Source: RNAcentral